Molecule: ribosomal RNA, 267 nt
Filed under: uncultured bacterium
Lineage: Bacteria
Description: partial 16S ribosomal RNA
Rfam family: Bacterial small subunit ribosomal RNA
Source: RNAcentral
GUCCUAGCUGUAAACGGUGCACGUUUGCUGUAAGAGGAAUCGACCCCUUUUGUGGCGAAGCUAACGCGCUAAACGUGCCGCCUGGGGAGUACGGUCGCAAGAUUAAAACUCAAAGAAAUUGACGGGGGCCUGCACAAGCGGUGGAGUAUGUGGCUUAAUUCGAUGCAACGCGAAGAACCUUACCUGGCCUUGACAUGCACGUGGUAGGAGCCUGAAAGGGUAACGACCCCGCAAGGGGAGCGUGCACAGGUGCUGCAUGGCUGUCGU